Molecule: ribosomal RNA, 710 nt
Filed under: Serratia sp. 44ANGIII
Lineage: Bacteria; Pseudomonadati; Pseudomonadota; Gammaproteobacteria; Enterobacterales; Yersiniaceae
Description: bacterial SSU rRNA
Rfam family: Bacterial small subunit ribosomal RNA
Source: RNAcentral
AGGGAGCUUGCUCCUGGGUGACGAGCGGCGGACGGGUGAGUAAUGUCUGGGAAACUGCCCGAUGGAGGGGGAUAACUACUGGAAACGGUAGCUAAUACCGCAUAACGUCUUCGGACCAAAGUGGGGGACCUUCGGGCCUCACACCAUCGGAUGUGCCCAGAUGGGAUUAGCUAGUAGGUGAGGUAAUGGCUCACCUAGGCGACGAUCCCUAGCUGGUCUGAGAGGAUGACCAGCCACACUGGAACUGAGACACGGUCCAGACUCCUACGGGAGGCAGCAGUGGGGAAUAUUGCACAAUGGGCGCAAGCCUGAUGCAGCCAUGCCGCGUGUGUGAAGAAGGCCUUCGGGUUGUAAAGCACUUUCAGCGAGGAGGAAGGGUUCAGUGUUAAUAGCACUGAACAUUGACGUUACUCGCAGAAGAAGCACCGGCUAACUCCGUGCCAGCAGCCGCGGUAAUACGGAGGGUGCAAGCGUUAAUCGGAAUUACUGGGCGUAAAGCGCACGCAGGCGGUUUGUUAAGUCAGAUGUGAAAUCCCCGAGCUUAACUUGGGAACUGCAUUUGAAACUGGCAAGCUAGAGUCUUGUAGAGGGGGGUAGAAUUCCAGGUGUAGCGGUGAAAUGCGUAGAGAUCUGGAGGAAUACCGGUGGCGAAGGCGGCCCCCUGGACAAAGACUGACGCUCAGGUGCGAAAGCGUGGGGAGCAAACAGGA